GAGCCCUGGGGGAGCCCAGCACCAGCUGGGGAGCCUCAGGACAGUGAGCUCUGGGAGGAACCUUGACCAUGGCCUGGAUCUCUCUGCUCUUCUCAUUCCUGACUGUCUACACAGGUUCUGGGGCCUCCUAUGUGCUGACUCAGCCACCUUCAGUGUCCAAAAAUCUGGGAGAGACGGCCUCCAUCUCCUGUGCUGGAGAUAGGGCUAAUAGUAAUAGUGUACAGUGGUACCAGCAGAAACCUGGCCAGGCCCCUAAGCUGGUGAUUUAUAGCACUAGCAGCAGGCCCUCGGGGAUCCCUGCCCGAUUCUCUGGCUCCAAGUCAGGGAACACGGCCACCCUGAGCAUCUCUGGGCUUCAGGCUGAGGAUGAGGCUGAUUAUUACUGUCAGCAGUGGGAUAGUAAUGCUGAUGCUCACAGUGACACAGACUGAUGGGGAAGUGAGACA
Molecule: non-coding RNA, 446 nt
Organism: Vombatus ursinus (common wombat)
Lineage: Eukaryota; Metazoa; Chordata; Mammalia; Diprotodontia; Vombatidae
Source: the annotation of a RefSeq genome assembly